CCUACGUGUGGCAGCAGUCGAGAAUCAUUCACAAUGGGGGAAACGCUGAUGGUGCGACGUCGCGUGGGGUAAUGAAGGUCUUCGGAUUGUAAACCCCUGUUAUGUGGGAGCAAAUUAACCAGAUUGUACCACAAGAGGAAGAGACGGCUAACUCUGUCCCAGAAGCCGCGGUAAUACAGAGGUCUCAAGCGUGGUUCGGAAUAACUGGGCGUAAAGCGUGCGUAGGCUGUUUAGUAAGUCGUGUGUGAAAGGCGGGGGCUCAACACGCGGACGGCACAUGAUACUGCGAGACGAGAGUAAUGUGGGGGGUACCGGAAUUCUCGGUGUAGCAGUGAAAUGCGUAGAUA
RNAcentral lists this ribosomal RNA (347 nucleotides) under uncultured bacterium. Its description in RNAcentral is "partial 16S ribosomal RNA". It matches the Rfam family "Bacterial small subunit ribosomal RNA", at positions 338 to 696 of the family's 1533-position model. The record is from RNAcentral.